GCAUUGGUGGUUCAGUGGUAGAAUUCUCGCCUUCCACGCAGGAGACCCAGGUUCAAUUCCCAGCCAGUAUA
RNAcentral lists this transfer RNA (71 nucleotides) under Loxodonta africana (African savanna elephant). It matches the Rfam family "tRNA". From Rfam's summary of the family: Transfer RNA (tRNA) molecules are approximately 80 nucleotides in length. Their secondary structure includes four short double-helical elements and three loops (D, anti-codon, and T loops). Further hydrogen bonds mediate the characteristic L-shaped molecular structure. tRNAs have two regions of fundamental functional importance: the anti-codon, which is responsible for specific mRNA codon recognition, and the 3' end, to which the tRNAs corresponding amino acid is attached (by aminoacyl-tRNA synthetases). tRNAs cope with the degeneracy of the genetic code in two manners: having more than one tRNA (with a specific anti-codon) for a particular amino acid; and 'wobble' base-pairing, i.e. permitting non-standard base-pairing at the 3rd anti-codon position. The record is from Rfam by way of RNAcentral. Lineage: Eukaryota; Metazoa; Chordata; Mammalia; Proboscidea; Elephantidae.